This 2762-nucleotide ribosomal RNA is filed under the name Escherichia coli. Its description in RNAcentral is "partial 23S ribosomal RNA". It matches the Rfam family "Bacterial large subunit ribosomal RNA". The record is from RNAcentral. Lineage: Bacteria; Pseudomonadati; Pseudomonadota; Gammaproteobacteria; Enterobacterales; Enterobacteriaceae.
CACACUAUCAUUAACUGAAUCCAUAGGUUAAUGAGGCGAACCGGGGGAACUGAAACAUCUAAGUACCCCGAGGAAAAGAAAUCAACCGAGAUUCCCCCAGUAGCGGCGAGCGAACGGGGAGGAGCCCAGAGCCUGAAUCAGUGUGUGUGUUAGUGGAAGCGUCUGGAAAGGCGCGCGAUACAGGGUGACAGCCCCGUACACAAAAAUGCACAUACUGUGAGCUCGAUGAGUAGGGCGGGACACGUGGUAUCCUGUCUGAAUAUGGGGGGACCAUCCUCCAAGGCUAAAUACUCCUGACUGACCGAUAGUGAACCAGUACCGUGAGGGAAAGGCGAAAAGAACCCCGGCGAGGGGAGUGAAAAAGAACCUGAAACCGUGUACGUACAAGCAGUGGGAGCCUCUUUAUGGGGUGACUGCGUACCUUUUGUAUAAUGGGUCAGCGACUUAUAUUCUGUAGCAAGGUUAACCGAAUAGGGGAGCCGAAGGGAAACCGAGUCUUAACUGGGCGUUAAGUUGCAGGGUAUAGACCCGAAACCCGGUGAUCUAGCCAUGGGCAGGUUGAAGGUUGGGUAACACUAACUGGAGGACCGAACCGACUAAUGUUGAAAAAUUAGCGGAUGACUUGUGGCUGGGGGUGAAAGGCCAAUCAAACCGGGAGAUAGCUGGUUCUCCCCGAAAGCUAUUUAGGUAGCGCCUCGUGAAUUCAUCUCCGGGGGUAGAGCACUGUUUCGGCAAGGGGGUCAUCCCGACUUACCAACCCGAUGCAAACUGCGAAUACCGGAGAAUGUUAUCACGGGAGACACACGGCGGGUGCUAACGUCCGUCGUGAAGAGGGAAACAACCCAGACCGCCAGCUAAGGUCCCAAAGUCAUGGUUAAGUGGGAAACGAUGUGGGAAGGCCCAGACAGCCAGGAUGUUGGCUUAGAAGCAGCCAUCAUUUAAAGAAAGCGUAAUAGCUCACUGGUCGAGUCGGCCUGCGCGGAAGAUGUAACGGGGCUAAACCAUGCACCGAAGCUGCGGCAGCGACACUAUGUGUUGUUGGGUAGGGGAGCGUUCUGUAAGCCUGCGAAGGUGUACUGUGAGGUAUGCUGGAGGUAUCAGAAGUGCGAAUGCUGACAUAAGUAACGAUAAAGCGGGUGAAAAGCCCGCUCGCCGGAAGACCAAGGGUUCCUGUCCAACGUUAAUCGGGGCAGGGUGAGUCGACCCCUAAGGCGAGGCCGAAAGGCGUAGUCGAUGGGAAACAGGUUAAUAUUCCUGUACUUGGUGUUACUGCGAAGGGGGGACGGAGAAGGCUAUGUUGGCCGGGCGACGGUUGUCCCGGUUUAAGCGUGUAGGCUGGUUUUCCAGGCAAAUCCGGAAAAUCAAGGCUGAGGCGUGAUGACGAGGCACUACGGUGCUGAAGCAACAAAUGCCCUGCUUCCAGGAAAAGCCUCUAAGCAUCAGGUAACAUCAAAUCGUACCCCAAACCGACACAGGUGGUCAGGUAGAGAAUACCAAGGCGCUUGAGAGAACUCGGGUGAAGGAACUAGGCAAAAUGGUGCCGUAACUUCGGGAGAAGGCACGCUGAUAUGUAGGUGAAGCGACUUGCUCGUGGAGCUGAAAUCAGUCGAAGAUACCAGCUGGCUGCAACUGUUUAUUAAAAACACAGCACUGUGCAAACACGAAAGUGGACGUAUACGGUGUGACGCCUGCCCGGUGCCGGAAGGUUAAUUGAUGGGGUUAGCGGUAACGCGAAGCUCUUGAUCGAAGCCCCGGUAAACGGCGGCCGUAACUAUAACGGUCCUAAGGUAGCGAAAUUCCUUGUCGGGUAAGUUCCGACCUGCACGAAUGGCGUAAUGAUGGCCAGGCUGUCUCCACCCGAGACUCAGUGAAAUUGAACUCGCUGUGAAGAUGCAGUGUACCCGCGGCAAGACGGAAAGACCCCGUGAACCUUUACUAUAGCUUGACACUGAACAUUGAGCCUUGAUGUGUAGGAUAGGUGGGAGGCUUUGAAGUGUGGACGCCAGUCUGCAUGGAGCCGGCCUUGAAAUACCACCCUUUAAUGUUUGAUGUUCUAACGUUGGCCCCUGAUCGGGGUUGCGGACAGUGUCUGGUGGGUAGUUUGACUGGGGCGGUCUCCUCCUAAAGAGUAACGGAGGAGCACGAAGGUUGGCUAAUCCUGGUCGGACAUCAGGAGGUUAGUGCAAUGGCAUAAGCCAGCUUGACUGCGAGCGUGACGGCGCGAGCAGGUGCGAAAGCAGGUCAUAGUGAUCCGGUGGUUCUGAAUGGAAGGGCCAUCGCUCAACGGAUAAAAGGUACUCCGGGGAUAACAGGCUGAUACCGCCCAAGAGUUCAUAUCGACGGCGGUGUUUGGCACCUCGAUGUCGGCUCAUCACAUCCUGGGGCUGAAGUAGGUCCCAAGGGUAUGGCUGUUCGCCAUUUAAAGUGGUACGCGAGCUGGGUUUAGAACGUCGUGAGACAGUUCGGUCCCUAUCUGCCGUGGGCGCUGGAGAACUGAGGGGGGCUGCUCCUAGUACGAGAGGACCGGAGUGGACGCAUCACUGGUGUUCGGGUUGUCAUGCCAAUGGCACUGCCCGGUAGCUAAAUGCGGAAGAGAUAAGUGCUGAAAGCAUCUAAGCACGAAACUUGCCCCGAGAUGAGUUCUCCCUGACUCCUUGAGAGUCCUGAAGGAACGUUGAAGACGACGACGUUGAUAGGCCGGGUGUGUAAGCGCAGCGAUGCGUUGAGCUAACCGGUACUAAUGAACCGUGAGGCUUAACCUU